This is a long non-coding RNA of Patella vulgata (common limpet), 612 nucleotides long. RefSeq lists it as uncharacterized. The record is from RefSeq and is a predicted model, not a curated record. The transcript is spliced from 3 exons. Lineage: Eukaryota; Metazoa; Mollusca; Gastropoda; Patellidae.
AAGUGUUUGCUUGUCUCGAUGGCGCACGACAUACACGUCAAGUCGUGCUUGUUAACAAAUAACGCGAGGGAAUCGAAUGAAUUUGGACUGUACCCGUCUAAAACACAAGAAAGAGGCACCGUAAGGAGUUUUGAGAGCCACGUACUUCCGUUCUAUUGUGUAAUAUAAUGGGUGUACAUUACCGUAUACAGACUGUGGUGAAGUUCGGGCGUUAAAUUGUAUAGAGGAGUAGAUGGUGACAGGAGAGUGGUACUCACAUGUGUUUUAUUUCAAAGAUGAAGAUAAGUAAAAACUAUAAAAAGAGCAAAAAACCAACUGAUGUAAGAAUCGAUAAUCUUUAAUGAUUAAAUUAUUCUCGACAAUAUAUAAACUUAACUGGAGAGAAUGAGAUCGAAUAAAACCAUACAAAAACAAUUGAACGACAGGAACCAGGUUUUAUUGUGAUCAAGUAGUGAUCGAAAAACUAACAUCGAAUUUAUUUCCAACUCGUCGCUUCAGUAAAUACUUCGGAAGAAUGCGGUUGUGUCUAAAAUGCGAAAUGGCAAGUGUUGCGUACAAAUGUUGGAAUUGAUUUAAAGGAAAACGGAUCGAAAUAAAGAUGAGUAAUAAGAA